Molecule: ribosomal RNA, 600 nt
Filed under: uncultured bacterium
Lineage: Bacteria
Description: bacterial SSU rRNA
Rfam family: Bacterial small subunit ribosomal RNA
Source: RNAcentral
CGUAGCAAUACGGCACCGGCGAACGGGUGCGUAACGCGUACGCAACAUACCUCUAAGAGGGGGAUAGCUUCUGGAAACGGGAGGUAAUACCCCAUAGUAUUAUUUGGUAGCAUUACUGGAUAAUUAAAACUCUGGUGCUUAGAGAUUGGCGUGCGUCCUAUUAGAUUGUUGGUGAGGUAACGGCUCACCAAGUCGAUGAUAGGUAGGGGGCGUGAGAGCGUGGUCCCCCACACGGACACUGAGAUACGGGUCCGACUCCUACGGGAGGCAGCAGUAAGGAAUAUUGGUCAAUGGACGGAAGUCUGAACCAGCCAUGCCGCGUGAAGGAUGAAGGUGCUACGCAUUGUAAACUUCUUUGGACGGAGAAGAAACCCCUGCCUGCGGGCGGGGCUGACGGUAUCCCGUAGAACAAGCACCGGCUAACUCCGUGCCAGCAGCCGUGGUAAUACGGAGGGUGCAAAGCGUUAUCCGGAAUCACUGGGUUUAAAGGGAGCGCAGGCGGUUGGAUAAGUCAGAGGUGAAAGCUCUAUGCUCAACAUAGAAAUUGCCUCUGAUACUGUUUAACUAGAAUUAAGUUGAGGUAGCGGAAUGCAACAUGUA